This 460-nucleotide ribosomal RNA is filed under the name uncultured bacterium. Its description in RNAcentral is "partial 16S ribosomal RNA". It matches the Rfam family "Bacterial small subunit ribosomal RNA", at positions 338 to 795 of the family's 1533-position model. The record is from RNAcentral.
CCUACGGGAGGCAGCAGUGAGGAAUAUUGGUCAAUGGGCUUACGCCUGAACCAGCCAAGUCGCGUGAGGGAAGACUGCCCUAUGGGUUGUAAACCUCUUUUGUCAGGGAGCAACGCCGGCUACGUGUAGCCGGACUUAGCGUACAUGUAGAAAAAGCAUCGGCUAACCCCGUGCCAGCAGCAGCGGUAAUACGGGGGAUGCGAGCGUUAUCCGGAUUUAUUGGGUUUAACGGGUGCGUAGGCGGAAUGCCAAUGCAGCGGUAAAGUCGCGGGGCUCAACCUCGCUCCGCCGUUGAAACUGGCGUUCUUGAGUGGGCGAGAGGUAUGCGGAAUGCGUGGUGUAGCGGUGAAAUGCAUAGAUAUCACGCAGAACUCCGAUUGCGAAGGCAGCAUACCGGCGCCCAACUGACGCUGAAGCACGAAAGCGUGGGUAUCGAACAGGAUUAGAUACCCCUGUAGUC